RNAcentral lists this long non-coding RNA (1180 nucleotides) under Equus caballus (horse). RNAcentral's name for it is "lncRNA (ENSECAG00000058290.1)". Lineage: Eukaryota; Metazoa; Chordata; Mammalia; Perissodactyla; Equidae. The record is from RNAcentral.
AUAUACCCACGCAGACAUUUCACAUUAUGAAGUUUGAGUUCCUGCAAGUAACCCUCACAUUGCAUACACAAGAAAUUAACACACCCUCAACCUCACAGCCUUCUCAUGUGUGUCUGUCUCAUUAGAGACCUUGGUUACAUUUCACAGCACAUUUUGAUCAUCAGCCUUUGUGAAGUUCCUGCUCAUCCUCCUUUCAUAAUUUCUAUGGGAAGAAGAUAAAACCACUUUAUUCUUAACAAGUCAAACAAAGAUUUUUUCUGGAGCUUGGAAUGAAAUUCGGGUCUGCUCUGCUAUUGUUUCAUGUAAUCAAAUGAUGUAGGGACCAAUUAAGAAACACAUAGAAGCACGUCAAGCAAGGUAAUGGGCAUACUGGGAAGUUAUUUUGUUUACUUUGUAUUUAAAAACACUUAUAUAGCACUUUAUUUAUGAGGUGUCAGGCAUGGUUCCAUUUAAAAUACUGACCAUUGAAUAGUUUAAUAAUUCAAGUGUGGCAUAAAUAAUGUAUAUCUGUGGGAUCUGAUGCAAAAAAGAGCAUCUCAAACAUGUCUGAAAAUAGAAUUAUAUUAGCAAUGGGUCAGUCCACAGUUCUGCGUUUUGUCCACGCAUCCUUACUAGCAAAUUCCCAGUGUAUCACUUCUCGCCAGAACAGUUUGUACUCUCAUCACUUCUGAAGAUUCUACACAUUUCAACUCUGCUUUGCUGUUUUGAUCAAGGUUUUCCUUCUCUUUGCACCUUCCCAACAGUUCUGUAACAUCUUAACCCUGAUGCAGAGUCCAGUUCCAUAAAAACCCUCUUUAAGAGAAUCUCAGAGAACCCUGCAAAGUGAAUUUCCCCACACACAUCAUUCUACUUCCAUUAAACCACUUAACAUUUGCUUGGGAGCAGAAUCGUCUAUGGAUAUGUCUGACUUUUCUCCUAACAGCAAAUUUCUGGACAGCAGGAACUAUUUAGGGCAAGUUCAAGCAACAUGGAGGAAGCUUGAGAUUCUGUGGGGCCAGUCAUCCCUAUUCUAGGCAAGGCCUAGGUAGGGUUUGAGCCAGCUGACUUGCCCAAGGUCAUAUGUCUAGUUUGUGGCAGAGGUAGGCCUAUCACAAAGUCUCAUCACUCUUAGUCCUCUGUUCUUUUCUUUUAAGAUUGGCCCUGAGCUAACAUCUGUUGCAAAUCUUCCUCUUUUUUUUUU